This 1878-nucleotide ribosomal RNA is filed under the name Triticum aestivum (bread wheat). RNAcentral describes it as "partial small subunit ribosomal RNA". Lineage: Eukaryota; Viridiplantae; Streptophyta; Magnoliopsida; Poales; Poaceae. The record is from RNAcentral.
AUGGAGGAGGCGCCGCCGGCCCCGCGGGUGGUGGGGGAGUACGAGCUCGGGGAGAUGGUGGGGAAGGGGACGUUCGCGGAGGUGUUCCGCGCGGUGCACGGCCCCACCGGCGCGCGCGUCGCCGUCAAGGAGAUCGACCGCCGCCGCGUCGACGACCACGUCCGCCGCGGCAUCCUCCAGGAGAUGAGCAUCCUCGGCAGCCUCUCCCACCCCAACAUCCUCCGCCUCAUCAACACCAUCGAGACGGGGGAGAAGCUGUUCCUGGUGCUGGAGUACUGCGACGGGGGCGACCUCGAGGCCUACAGGCAGACGCACGGCGGGCCUCGGAACCGGCUGCCGGAGGCCACCGCCAGGGACUUCGCCCGGCAGCUCGCCGAGGGGCUCAAGGUGCUGAGGGGCGAGAGGAUCGUGCACCGGGACCUCAAACCCCAGAACCUUCUGCUAUCAGCCGAUGGGGACGCCAUUACAUUGAAAAUUGGCGAUUUUGGGUUUGCCAGAUCUCUGAUGCAUGAAAAUUUGGCUGCCACUUUUUGUGGCUCUCCAUAUUAUAUGGCCCCAGAAAUCUGGCGAGGGGAUAAAUAUGACGCGAAGGCAGAUUUAUGGAGUGUUGGAGUCAUUCUUUUCCAGCUAGUAACAGGGGAGCUACCAUUUCUUGGGGAGAAUAGAGUGGAGCUGCGCGAAAAAGUAUUGUCAUCUAGUGGCCUCAGUUUCCCUCCAGAUAUGGAGGCUGAUUUACAUCCUGAGUUUAUUGACCUGUGCAGAAGACUCAUAUGCCUUGAUCCAGCGGAGAGAAUGCCUUUUGAGGAAUUCUUUAAUCACAACUUUUUGGCAACAGCAAGGAACAGUGAAAUCAUGGAUGAGUCCCAUCAUGCUCUUGAUUUAAGGGACACAUGCCAGACUGUCUCUUCUGCUGUCGUCAAAGUAAAGUCUGAAAGUGUAGAUUCAAAAGUAUUUGAUUCAUGGGAGUGGGUUGAACGAGAAUACGUAUUAGUUCAUGCGAACACUACUUCCAUGGAGUUGCUGUCUUCACUCGAGAAGCCAAUGAAGGAUGUCACAGGUGCAAGACCCCGCUGUGAUGAUAUAUCCACUAUCAGUGGGCCUAUUCAGAGUCAAAACAGAGACUCACUCUAUAGAGUGAAAUCCCAUGGAUGUACUCCACUGUCCGCUUCCUGUGAGUCAACUACUAUGGAAAAUCUGCGAGGGAGGCCACUUGAUUGUUAUACAAGACUUCACCUACUGAAUCAGUAUAUUGUCAUUCUCACAGAACUUGCUCAGGAGAAGCUUUUUAAAGGGCUGGACCUGGAGGCACUAUCACUUGAACUUGUGAUACUUGCUAUCUGGAAAGAGGCGCUUAAUGCAUGUAGCUUAUUGCCGGAUGCUUUAGAUGAUGGAAGUUUUUCGACAUUUGCACACGAGAAUUACUUUCCUAAGAGUGAUCAGCGUCUAUCCCCGAAUGUAGCGCAAGGAUUGGAUUUCACUAGGCCGGCUUCUGUUCGUUACUGGGUUGAAAGUGGGUUCAUCAAGGCAUAUGACCGUGCUGAGAAGAUAUCACAUAGGUUGCGGGAGAACAAUGAUAACACUGAGAUGCCAGACGCAAUGGAGAUCAUAUUCCAAACUGCUUUAGUAUAUGGGAAAACUGACAAAGGAACUUUUGGGAUGCCAAAACAAAUCAAUGGCGCUAUACUCAAAAGCAAUCAUCCUACUCACAUUUAUAUUGCAGGAAGCAACCGCGUUGCCACUGAAUCCACUCUUCUCGCUUUCACCAUUCAACCAGCAGCGUAUCCGGAGUCAUCUGUGCAGUGCUCAGUUGAGCGGGCAACAGCAGAGGUCCAUCAAGAACUAACUUUUCUCAUGGGAAUCGUCAUUUCGCGAGAAUGA